AAACCUCAACCUCCUUGGUUUCUUCUGGAGACCAAAGGAGGCUUGGACUUUGGAGGCCUUUGCUGGCGUCUCUCUUUUGAAGGCCAGCUCCUCUCAAACAAAUUAGCGGGGUCCUCUUUGCCGAUCCUCGACAUGUGAUAAGAUGUUUCCGUGUCUUGGUUUCUGGCUCUGUUGCUUUUGGGAUCCGCUUCAAACCGUCUCGAGCUUGCAUCGAGACAAUGUUCGAGCUUGUCUCCCUUCUCGGGAAACUCUCUCGACCCCACGAAC
This 267-nucleotide unclassified non-coding RNA is filed under the name Lactarius helvus. Its description in RNAcentral is "partial internal transcribed spacer 2". Lineage: Eukaryota; Fungi; Basidiomycota; Agaricomycetes; Russulales; Russulaceae. The record is from RNAcentral.